Molecule: transfer RNA, 66 nt
Filed under: Lydina aenea
Lineage: Eukaryota; Metazoa; Arthropoda; Insecta; Diptera; Tachinidae
Description: tRNA-Cys
Source: RNAcentral
AGCUUUAUAGUCAAUAAUGACAUUAGACUGCAAUUCUAAAGGAGUAAUAUAAUUUUACUAAGGCUU